This is a long non-coding RNA of Mesocricetus auratus (golden hamster), 807 nucleotides long. RefSeq lists it as uncharacterized. The transcript has 2 exons. The record is from RefSeq and is a predicted model, not a curated record. NCBI's taxonomy places the organism in Eukaryota, Metazoa, Chordata, Mammalia, Rodentia, Cricetidae.
UUCAAUUUUAAGCACUUUUUUUUUGCCAAAAAAAUCAUAUCCUCAUGCUUUCUAAAAGAUAUCUUGCAGGCUCUCUUUCACAAAAGCGGCAUUUUAAAAUCUGCAUUGGAAAAAUUUUAAAAAUUAGACAAAGAAUGGCAAUUGUAAAGAAUUUGUGAACUUGCUGAGCAUGGUGGUGCAUGCCUGUAAUCUCAGAAUUUGGGAAAGGAGAGGGGAAGAUCAAGAGUUCAAAGUCUCCCUCAGCUACAUCCGGCUUAGGCACUACUGGGAGAUCUAGAAAACAGAAAGAAGUGUGGGAGUGGGGACUGGAACAUUAGUGUAAACUUGAAAGUAGAUUGUGAUACCCUAUUCUCUUCUUUUGGCCAUGAGUUCAACGCUGCCUUUCACGCUGUGCUGCCUCACCAUAGUCCCAAAUCAACAGGAGCAAGCCACCAGCGGAUUGGAACUACGGAAACUGUUUUCAGUGUGAUGCAUCUAGAUUUGUACAGCACCCUGAUGUCUGCCUCUCUGUGGGGCAGCUCACCAACGCUUGGCUUACCAGAAGACCUCCAUAGCUGCCAUCCACUGUACAGAUAGCCUACAAGAAGGACCUUGUAGUUACAGCAUGAACGACCCCAUGGAGCUUGGGCGCUGAAGCCUGCCUAGUUGGUUUUGCUAUUGGGUUUUUGUUUGUUUCAGUUGUUUUGUCUUUUUUCCUGCUCACUGGUUGAGCAGCUGAGUGUGUAUUAUACAGGCCAAUGCCCUUAGCCUGUGGCUGCUGUCUGUUCUCUUAAAUUGAAAGCAGUACAAACUAAUUCUGUUACUUCA